This 433-nucleotide ribosomal RNA is filed under the name uncultured bacterium. RNAcentral's name for it is "partial 16S ribosomal RNA". It matches the Rfam family "Bacterial small subunit ribosomal RNA", at positions 29 to 507 of the family's 1533-position model. The record is from RNAcentral.
AACGAACGCUGGCGGCAUGCCUAACACAUGCCAGUCGAACGAUACCUUCGGUUCUAUUUGCGCACGUGUGCGUAACGCGUGGGAACCUGCCCUUAGGUUCGGAAUAACUCCCCGAAAGGUGUGCUAAUACCGGAUAAUGUCUUCGGACCAAAGAUUUAUCGCCUUUGGAUGGGCCCGCGUUGGAUUAGCUAGUUGGUAGGGUAAAAGCCUACCAAGGCGACGAUCCAUAGCUGGUCUGAGAGGAUGAUCAGCCACACUGGGACUGAGACACGGACCAGACUCCUACGGGAGGCAGCAGUGGGGAAUAUUGGACAAUGGGCGAAAGACUGAUACAGCAAUGCCGCGUGAGUGAUGAAGGCCUUAGGGUUGUAAAGCUCUUUUACCCGGGAUGAUAAUGACAGUACCGGGAGAAUAAGCGCCGGCUAACUCCGUG